This is a long non-coding RNA of Oncorhynchus keta (chum salmon), 439 nucleotides long. RefSeq lists it as uncharacterized. NCBI's taxonomy places the organism in Eukaryota, Metazoa, Chordata, Actinopteri, Salmoniformes, Salmonidae. The transcript has 3 exons. The record is from RefSeq and is a predicted model, not a curated record.
GAGGGGUGGUAGGGUUAGGGGAGAGGUGGUAGGGUUAGGGGAGAGGUGGUAGGGUUAGGGGAGAGGUGGUAGGGUUAGGGGAGAGGUGGUAGGGUUAGGGGAGGGGUGGUAGGGUUAGGGGAGAGGUGGUAGGGUUAGGGGAGAGGUGGUAGGGUUAGGGGAGAGGUGGUAGGGUUAGGGGAGAGGUGGUAGGGUUAGGGGAGAGGUGGUAGGGUUAGGGGAGAGGUGGUAGGGUUAGGGGAGAGGUGGUAGGGUUAGGGGAGAGGUGGUAGGGUUAGGGGAGAGGUGGUAGGGUUAGGGGAGGGGUGGUAGGGUUAGGGGAGAGGUGGUAGGGUUAGGGGAGAGGUGGUAGGGUUAGGGGAGGGGUGGUAGGGUUAGGGGAGAGGUGGUAGGGUUAGGGGAGAGGUGGUAGGGUUAGGGGAGAGGUGGUAGGGUUAGG